GGCCCUGCUUCAUUGUGUCAGUGAGCAUACCAAAGUAUAAAUGCAAAAAUUUAAUUUAUAUAAGCUGCAGAAUCUGUUCUGACAUCUAUUCUUACAUGGAUAAAACCCUUGCACACAACACAUCGGUAUUACAUCCACUUGCUAGAGAUGCUAGAGAAAAGCAUGCACAGCCAGAGUAAGCCUUGUGGAUAUAACAAAUCUUCCAUGUGAUCCUAGAGUAAAAAUUGCAUAACAUGGUCAAGUUGAACUAGGGCAGUCAAAUGUCAGAGGCGCUCGCCAAUGUGGAGUUCGGGGAGGACCAAUGUUCACAGUCUACAGCAGAGAAGAUGUUUUCAUACUCAAAUCUUGGUCAUUCCAGUUGAAUAACCUUACUGUGGUUCAAGGCCCUUGUCUUGAGUCGUUCAUUUAAACCAAUUGGUGUCGGUUGAAAUUGACAGGGCCCUAUUGUAUAUACAUAAAACUUAGAACAGCAUUUGGAGUUCUCUACUGUGACAACAGCAAAGACAAGAAAUAUUGACAUAAUACUUCUAAAGAAGAUGAGAAAAAUAAAGACAAUUUUCUUUUUCAGAUUUUUCUUUUAAACUCAGUACAUACUGAUGUACCAACACUUGGUAUAUACCAGUAACAUACCAGACCGUUAUAGUAUCAACCAGAGCCCUAACCGAUACUCGAAAUUGUGAACCUUGUUAGUAACUCAUGAAUAACUUAAAGAUUGAUAUGAACAACUGAAAUCUAACCUUUUGAAGGUAUACCAAGUUCUAAGUGAAGGAGAAGAGCAUGUGCUUACAAAAAGUGCCAGAAGUUGAACUUUUGGGUUCUUGCUUCCCAGACGCUUUUUAAGUACUUUCAGUGCAUCCUUUGCCUGUCUGCUCGUGAGAAGAAAUAUUAUUAGAUGAAGUUUCAGUAAAGGACAAUAAAAAUAUUUUACUACUAUGAAGCAACUAACAUUUUUUAGAAGUUAGGACACAAGAAAAUAAAGCACAUCGAAAUCAGAAAAUUCCUUAGCGAAUUGGUUAAGUGGAUAAGGAUUUCCUCCCUAAAUGAUCAUCCAUAUCCCCAGGAAUAGUCAGUUGCAUCACUCUUGACAUCAAUGAAACAGUAAAUCUGGUGACAAAUCUGCAUACUUCAAGAGGCAAUACCCACAUGAAGUGGUUGAUGGUGGGAUUAUAUAUUGGUGGAAAAAAUAAAGUACCAUCAAAGAAACUGUUCUCAACAUUUUGUUUAGUGUUUAGUAUCACGUCCAGCAAGUUCAUAUGUCUGUUUCAUGAUUUCUAGCUUAUCAUUUAAAAGGAGCCACACUUUCUUCUUGGAAUUCAAGGUGCCCCGGAUAAGGACAAUGCUGAAUUUAGCAGAUAGAAUAAUUCAAGGGUAUAUAUCAAAUAAGGCCCAUGUGUAUUUGGGCAUAGAAAAACUUGGAUCCAACAACCGAUAAAGAUUAUAGCCAGAUAAUGCCCACAACAAACAUACAGUUCAUGUAAGAGAAGUAUAGGUCCAUAAACUAAUACGUUCAGUUUCACAUCUUUGGUAAUUUUACAGAAGUGCCUAGAGAAAAGUCCGAACAAUUAGAUGCAAUUGGGGUGGAACCCCAAAAACCUAUUUCUAUGGUUACCAGGUAGGAGAAAAAAAGGAACCAUCUUUACCAAGUUGCUCAUCAUUUGACGGUACUCCCUACAGUACUCGAAUCUCUAUGCCAAAUUAAACAAAUGUCAACACCCUACAAACUAGAUCUACCAAACUAACCAAGAAGUCAAGAACUUUACCCGGGAUCCAUACUGAUAAUGUCGCAUAACUCGAUGUUGAUCGCCCAAUCCGGGCCGAUCAACAUAUCGCUCGUCGCCCGUUCCGCACACGCCGCUGCGGCAGCCAUCGAAACGUCCUAUAAAUCGAACACAUCCAUCAAAUCUAAAUCGAACCCUCAAAAUCAUCUCUUCUUUUUUUUUCCAAAAUUAUACUUUUCUCCUUCAAAGAAAGCACCAGACCGGAUCAAAACCCACAUAAGACCGAAGCACCCAAAGAUUCACAGAAUUCCAGGGGACAUCGGAUCCGUACGUGACAGGAACGGGCAGAAAUCAGAGGCUGCCAAGGCCAAAGGGUUUACCUUUACGCCAGAGGAGACGAAGAGGGCGCCGAAGAAGCUCUUAUUCAGAUUCUUAUCUUGGGGGAAGGAUUAUGGAAGAAAGCGAGGCGGAUUAGCUCAUCAAAGAGCCGACUUUGAUAAAAAUAAAGAGAAGUGGAAAGAAGAAGAAGUCGUCGUGGGAGUUGGAAGCCGUUCAAAGAUGUGACACAGAAAAUGGCAAACGUGCCUUUAUUUCUCCCUUUCUUUUGCUUGUUAUUUUAGAAACCAUCUCAUAUUAAAUAUUACUAAAAUAAUAUUCUACAUUCCACAUUACAAUUAAUUACCAAUAAUUAAUACUAUAAUGUCUAUAAGUUUUGGUUUUGUAGGUAUACAUAUGUAUAUGGUAAAUCCAAAUUCAUCAACCCACCAGUUUUGACUGUGUAAUGGACCAAUAUUACCCAAUCUAAUUUUGGUUGCAUGACAAUGAGAUUUUUGGGGAUUCGGUGCUAAGUCUUCCCUUCCAUGGCUAUUAUUAACCAUCGGGCAAUCUACUUUUAGUUACAUGACUCAUUGGUAAUCUACUUUAAAUCGAACUAAGGAUGCUUCUUGGAUCUAUAUAUUGGAUAUUCAACUAAGAUUGGAGCCAGGAUUUUGUGUGGAUCCGUAUCUUUGGAUCCAUUAUUGCCAUAGGAUCUAACCAAGGAAUCAAAUGUUUCCUUGAUGAUGCAUUGAGUUCGGCUCGAUCUGACUCGAUUUUGUGAGUUGUAAAGUGUGAUCGAUUUAUCGGAGUUUAAAGUAAGAAAAGACUUGAAUUAAUUUGAUGAAAAUAUUAUCGAUAAUCUAAGUUUGAAGUUAAUAUGACCAAAUGUUUCGAUCUGCAACUAACAAUAAGACACCUUACAUUUUCCACAUCCAGCAAAGAAACGAAGGUAAGUCAAUGCCUUAGAGAUGAAUGCACACAAAGGUGUGCAAAUAAGUCCAAAGAAGAUGAGCAUGGUCUCAAUCUUUUCUAACACGUUUUCUCUUUCUUGGCUGUCAUUGUCUUGUAGUUUGUCUUUUGUUUCUCCUCUUCAUAGAUCUCUCAUGUUUCUUCUCCUUUCUUUGUUGUAAUUAUAUAUUAGUUUAUCUUUGAUUUCCCCCUUCUCUAAGAUCUUUUUCUUGGCUGUAACUGUCUUAUCCAAGCUGCCAUUUCAACUCUACAAUCAGGAAGAGACUGAGCUCCAUGUUUCAUUUGAGUGCCAAAAUUAAUUGUCUAUGGGAAUCAGAUCCACCAUAGACAAUUACUACAAGCAAAAAUUAGGUGUAUCACUGUUUAGGUCAGAAGUAGAAGCCAUAGGCUGUCCAUGAACAUCAUGCAGCAGUUGAUCUUCCAUCAACUGUAAAUGCCAAUUCAUAUAUGAACUACACUUGAUGGGCUUACAAAUUGCUGACACUUAGUUUCAGCAUGUUACUGAUCUGGUCAUCCAAGAUUUGGACGAACUGGGAGAUACUUCGAGAUCUGGUAAUCAGUAAACAGCAGAAGUGAGUGCAUACUUGACAUGGCAAUCCUUCAUUUCAUCGUCUCCGAUGUAAAUGAAGAAGCAGGAAUGUUCUUUGUUUGUGCCUCGAAUGAUAAGGAUGUGGAAUACAGCUGCUUCCCGAGUGGAAGGCACACUUUCCUUCGAUAACCAUAUGGUGAAUUGGAGCUGCUGCGAUCACAAGGAGCUCAACUAAGGUUCAGUUCCAGGAGUGCAGCCUGUGCCGAAGCCACCACCAUCUGAUCCUACUGGGAAUGGCAGCUCCACCCAGUGCUUGACCGAACAAGGUGAAGGUAUCCAGAAAAGCCUGAACGCAGAAAGUGGAACAUCUCACAAACAUGGAUAUUGCAAGCGGUGGCAGCUCCUCCCUCUUCUCUCUGAGAACCCACAAUGAAGCUAUCACACUAGGCCAAGACUCGGUGCCACCAUUCCCACCACAGGUGCUCUGCGUGCAGGCGAGGUUGCAUCACGUCUGCGUCACCGGAGAAAGGAGAGCUCUUAUGUCUGGCUCGCCAUCCACUAAAAGAGGUGGUGCUUUUUCCUCUCCAUGAGGGCUUCGUUCCUUCUUGUCUAGUUCUAAUGAAGCAGUAUAUCUCCCGGUGAGGUGGAGCACCGAGCUGCAUCCUUCGGCAAUCAUUGCUGGGUUUAAGAGGCGAGGCACAAAGCAAGCGGGAGCGGCAGCCCGCGGCCAUAGACGGGGGCACAUAGUUUCUCUAUAGGUGCAUAUUUUAUCCAUGGCUUCUUCUUCAAGUGAUGUUCUCGUACUUUGCCACCAUGUCAUGGAGUUGGAGGCUAUCAUUCUGGUUACAGUGAAGAAGAGAAGUGCCGUGGUGGAGAGGGGUGACGUACAGAAUUGGGUGGCAUGACAUGGGGCAUAUGUUCUCUCUUUAAGGACAAGUUGGCCAAAACUCACCAUUAAGGUAUCAGAAAAUGUGUUAGGAACACGGUGGAUGCAUGUAACCCAAGCCACAAAAGAUUCCAGCACACAAACUUCGACAGCACACAUCCUUUUCCCAGGUGAGCUCAUGUAUGAAAGGAGCAUACCAAGCUGGAUUUCAUUAAUCUCAAGGAAGUGGAAGGUAUAGAUAGACACUUAUCAGAAGGUUCUUCGCGACGGCCUCGUUGCAUCCAGCAGUCAUCUUCAUUAUAACCACAUGGUCUGUGUCGAAGCACACACGAGAGACUGAUGCUACGAUGAUUUCACUGUUAACACUACGAAACUUGGAAAGCGGCAAGUGGCAUGAUGGGGAGAUGGAUGGAUCAGAAGGCCACCUUGAGGAGAUGAAUGGAUCAGCAAGUUGGACACUGUCCUUUUCGUAUUGCCUUCUACUCUCCGGUACGAAUGUGACCGUCCCAACCAUUACCACUUCUCUGUACUGAGCCGUCCAAAGAACAUGAGGAAAAAGAGAUCCUUCAAAAUAGGUAAGAGAGCAUUAGAUUAGCCUUGUUUUGCUGUUUGUUUAUAUGAAACGACUUUACAGCAACCAUUCAUUGGAUUUCUCGAUUAAGCUUUGGCCUAUACUCUUCCGUUCAUAGGACAAGUCGUCUCGACAAGAUGUUGCUAUCACUCAUCUCUGUGUCGUUGAUAGAACACUGUAUUGCUGUAGCUUUAUAGUGACAUAAAAUCUAUGUAUAAUAAUAACUCUAAUAUUCCCAUGUAGCUGCACUUCCGCACUGCGCUCGUGCCCUUCUUGACUUGCCUGCGUCACGGGCUAUAAAUGUGGACCUUUUACUGCUUAUCUCCAUUCUCUCUCUGGUGCUGUUGUCCUGCGAAAGCAUGGGAGAAGGGAGCAACCUACCACCUGGUUUCCAGUUCUUCCCCUCCGACGAAGAGCUGGUCGUCCAUUUCCUCCGUCCCAAGGCCGCGCACCUUCCUUGCUAUCCCGACAUCAUCCCCACGAUCGAUCUCCACCACUGCGACCCGUGGGACCUCGAUGGUCAGCAAACUCCCCUGCGAGUCUAGUAGUUUUCUUGUUGCUGCAUGCAGUUAAUAUAAGACGCAUCUCUCGCUCUUUCUCUCUUGUGGACUGUGCCUGAAGGUAAAGCUCUUCAAGGAGGAAACCGCCAUUGGUACUUCUUCACCCGCAGAAGCCAGAACAGGGCAACAGCUAACGGAUACUGGCAUGCUGUCAGCACCGACGAGACCGUGACUAGCAAUCACACGCCUGUUGGUAUAAAGAAGACUCUCAGGUACUAUCUUGGCGAAGCACCUGAGGGCAUCAAGACCAAUUGGUUGAUGCACGAGUACCAUCUACCCGACGCUGGUCUUGGUAGUAGCAGCAGCAGCAAUGGUGGCAGCACCAGCAGCAGCAACAGUAGCAGAAGGAAGAGAGGAGGUCAACCGACAAGAACAGUAAGUACAUGUUUCAGCUCAACCAACACAAGAAAACUCUCUAAUCCCUUCGCUGAGCCCCACUGAUUCCGAUCCGGUGACACGAUCACCACGCAGGAAUCGAACAAAUGGGUCGUUUGCCGAGUUCAUGAGUCGGCCGGGGGUUCACAGUCGAGCUUCCACGACGACGGGUCAGAGCUUUCCUGCCUGGAUGAGGUGUUCUUGUCCUUGGAUGAUCUUGAUGACAUAAGCUUGCCAAACUGAGGCCUCAUCUGCAGGUCCAGUCGAAGAGUAAUUCUCUAACAGUGUAAUUAAGAUCCCUCGGUGCUCUUCUCAUGUUCAUCCUCAAUAAGUAAACUAGGCUAAGUCAAGCGAGCUGUAUGCUGUCCUUAUUGCAAUAUACUUAGGUCCAAGUACACUUUUGGUAUAUAUAUAUAUAUAUAUAUAUAUAGUGGCUGUGGAGCAGCCAUGCAUAUUGAUUUCUUUUUGCCCUGUGAUGUCCUUUUUCUGUGUAUUUAAUGAUCAUAGUGGCUUUGUUCUGCCACAAAGCAAAGAACUUUUGCUUCUUUUUGCCAUAAGAAGAUGGGUGGAGCGUGGGGAAGAACACUUAACAGCAAAGAGAAUCAAUAAUAAAAUAUAUGCUUACAAUAAUAAAUAUAAAAUUUACAUGAUUCAAUAUCCUUAAAUUCUUCACUAUAUGAUAAUAAUAAUAAUAAAUAUCUCUCUUUCUUUAAAUUAAACAAAGUCUAAGUUGAUAACAACACAUGCGAUUAAGUUGAUGAUAACAACAAAACGAGCAAAUCAAUUUGAUCGGUUCCAUGUCGAAUUCCCUAUCUCCUUUAGCCCGAUGUCACCACCCAACCCUAGCAUAAGGUCACCUCUGCCGUCAGUGGAAUAAGCCUAGCUAUAGGUUG
This 6819-nucleotide long non-coding RNA is filed under the name Musa acuminata (dwarf banana). Its description in RNAcentral is "long non-coding RNA (MACU_LNC005977)". The record is from RNAcentral. Lineage: Eukaryota; Viridiplantae; Streptophyta; Magnoliopsida; Zingiberales; Musaceae.